This 253-nucleotide ribosomal RNA is filed under the name uncultured bacterium. Its description in RNAcentral is "partial 16S ribosomal RNA". It matches the Rfam family "Bacterial small subunit ribosomal RNA", at positions 524 to 776 of the family's 1533-position model. The record is from RNAcentral.
UACGGAGGGUGCGAGCGUUGUCCGGAAUCACUGGGCGUAAAGGGCGCGUAGGCGGCGCGGAUAGUCGGCGGUGAAAGCCCGGAGCUCAACUCCGGGUCGGCCGUCGAUACUUCCGGGCUUGAGCACUGUAGAGGCAGAUGGAAUUCCGGGUGUAGCGGUGGAAUGCGUAGAGAUCCGGAAGAACACCGGUGGCGAAGGCGGUCUGCUGGGGUAAUGCUGACACUGAUGCGCGACAGCGUGGGGAGCAAACAGG